This 4102-nucleotide small RNA is filed under the name Arabidopsis thaliana (thale cress). Its description in RNAcentral is "ATSL033660". Lineage: Eukaryota; Viridiplantae; Streptophyta; Magnoliopsida; Brassicales; Brassicaceae. The record is from RNAcentral.
UAUUGGCUUUAACUUGUUGAUUCGUAAUGCCUGUUAGGUUAGCUCUUGUCAAUGGUGAUUGACUCUGGGACUAGGUUAACUUGAGGGUCUUUGUUGCAGUGACACUUAGAUUUGGUUAAUGAACUUGUUGUCUAGGGAUAAUUUAUUGAGCAUGUCAAUCACUUGUAAACUGAGGAAACGAAACUACUCAAUGACCCCAUCCUCGGGAAUUCUUUAUCUAAUUGAAUUCUUUGUUUACUCUACUGUUGUUUACUGCAUCUAGUCAUCUGCUGCUUAAUUUCUGCAAUUCUUUCUUGUUACUCGACCUCAUACUCGACCACCCAGUUGUCUGGCAACAAACUGUGCAGUCGAGUAUCUAUGUUAUACUUUCUGUUUGUUACUUGACUUGUCACUCGACCUCACCCAGUGCUCUGCAAAGAGCUGUGUUGGUCGAGUGUUUUAUUGUUUCUGCUUGAAUUUCUGUUUUCUGCAUGUUCACUUAGAACUGCUAGAACACACCAAAACCUGUUAUUGCUUGGCUUGACUUAGUGACUUCUGAUCACAUCUUGAUUGUUAGCAUCACACCCAUUUGGAUUGACAACCUAAAAUACUACAACGACAUGAUUGGUGUUUUAGGAUAAUUGAUCUUAAAAACCUAUUAUCAAUUUGGCGCCUUUACCAAUUGGGUGUUUGUUUGUUACAUUUGAGAUUUCAGACUUGCUUAGAUCAAGUUGUUUUUCAAUUUUUUUUUCAGUUACUAACUUUGUGUUUUUCUUGCUGUCUUCUUGAUCCAGGUACACCUCUGCUGUAUGCGAACUCGAUCACCAGGCAAUCAGAACCUCCUUUUCAACGACAACAUCGACUGAAUAGCUCGCAAACUCAGAGAAAGGAGAAACACAGUCAACCUUGUACCUCAACAACCACUCGAAAUGGGUGACGAACAGAAUUAAAAAAAUGGCCCUGCCAACAUUGGUUCUGGAGAUGCACCACGUGAUCACCGUCAGAGGAAAGGAAUUGCACCUCCUGCUAUCCAGAACAACAACUUUGAGAUUAAGAGUGGUCUCAUCUCGAUGAUUCAGGGGAACAAAUUCCAUGGUCUACCAAUGGAGGAUCCACUCGACCACCUUGAUGAAUUCGAUAGGCUCUGCAACCUAACAAAGAUCAAUGGUAUCAAUGAAGACGGAUUCAAGCUCUGUUUGUUCCCAUUCUCCUUGGGCGACAAAGCACACAUCUGGGAGAAGAAUCUGCCCGAUGACUCAAUCACCACCUGGGAUGAUUGCAAGAAGGCUUUUCUAUCAAAUUUGUUCUCCAACGCCAGAACUGCAAGACUCAGAAAUGAGAUCUCUGACUUUUUACAGAAGGCUGGUGAAAGCUUCUGUGAUGCAUGGGAGCGUUUCAAGGGUUACACCAACCAAUGCCCUCAUCAUGGCUUCACUAAAGCCUCUCUGCUCAGCACUCUUUAUAGAGGCGUUUUACCACGCAUCAGAAUGCUUCUGGAUACCGCCAGCAAUGGGAAUUUCCAGAACAAUGAUGUUGAAGAAGGCUGAGAAUUGGUUGAGAACCUAGCUCAAUCAGAUGGUAAUUACAACGAAGACUGCGAUAGGACCGUCAGAGGCACAGCUGACUUUGAUGACAAACACAGGAAGGAGAUCAAAGCGCUGAAUGACAAGCUGGAUAGGAUUCUUCUUAGCCAACAGAAGCAUGUGCACGAUGGGGAGGGUAACCAGUUGGAAGAAGUCUGCUACAACAACAACAACCAGGGUGGCUACAAAGGAUACAACAACUUCAAAACCAAAAAUCCUAACCUCUCCUACCGCAGCACCAACGUUGCUAAUCCUCAGGAUCAUGUGUAUCCUCUACAGCAACAACAAGGUCAGAACAAACCUUUUGUUCCUUACAACCAUGGUUUCGUUCCCAAACAGCAAUUUUUGGGGAACUACCAGCAACAACCACCACCUGGGUUUGCACCUCCACAAAACAAAGGUCCUGCUGCUCCUGAUGCUGAAAUGAAACAAAUGGUACAACAGCUGCUACAGGGAGACGCAUCUAGCUCCAUGGAAAUUGCUAAGAAAUUAUCUGAAUUGCACCAUAAGCUGUACUGCAGCUACAAUGACCUGAAUGCCAAAGUGGAGGCAUUGAAUACCAAAGUCAAUACUUAGAAGGCCAAUCAGCAUCUACCUCUAUACCUAAAGUUACAGGACUUCCUGGGAAGUCAAUACAGAAUCCGAAGGAGUAUGCAACUGCUCACGCCAUCACCAUUUGCCAUGAUCGAGAGCUGCCAACUCGACCUGUCCCUUAUUUAAUCACUAGGGACAGUGAUGUUCAAGAAGGGGAGGCUUCUACUCAGAUUGAAGUCUCCGUUGUUGAACUCAACCAUUUUGCCGGUUCUCGCCAUCUCAUUCAAUCCACCUCGGAAGAGAAGGCCGCCAUAAUCGAGAAAAUGGUGAAACGAUUCAAACCUACUCCACUACCCUCACGUGCUCUUCCGUGGACAUUCAGGAAAGCAUGGAUGGAGAGAUACAAGUCUGUUGCAUUGAAGCAGCUGAACGAGAUUAAAGCAGUGAUGCCACUGAUGGAAGUUCUCAACCUAAUUCCUGAUCCUCACAAAGAUGUGAGAAAUUUGAUACUGGAAAGGAUCAAGAUGUAUCACGAUUCAGAUGAUGAAAGUGAUGCCACUCCAUCUCGAGCUGCUGAUAAGAGGAUUGUUCAAGAGAAGUUAGAAGAUCCUGGAUCUUUCACUCUACCAUGUUCCAUUGGGGAAUUAGCUUUCAGCGAUUGUCUGUGCGAUCUCGGAGCCUCUGUAAGCUUAAUGCCACUCUCUGUGGCAAGAAGGUUAGAGUUUAUUUAGUAUAAACCUUGCGACCUGACUUUGAUCCUUGCGGAUAGGUCUUCCAGAAAAACCUUUGGCAUGCUGAAAGAUCUACCAGUCAUGAUUAAUGGAGUAGAAGGGUCUACAAACUUCGUGGUACUGGAUAUGGAAGUAGAGCAUAAGGAUCCCUAAUACUGGGAAGACCCUUCUUAGCUUCAGUGGGAGCAGUGAUAGAUGUUAGCGAAGGGAAAAUAAGUCUCAACCUUGGAAAGCACAUCAAGUUGCAGUUUGGCAUCAACAAAACUCCACAAGGGUCAACAGAAGAUGGAAGAACCUCUGGAAAUGAUAGAGCGAUCUCAGGAGAAGGAUAUGAGACUAAAAGAGUGAAAGAACUUAAAAAGAGGUCUGAUAAGCAAGAUGAAACUAUAGAGAAGCUAGCCCACACUGUUGAGGAACUUAGAAGUAAGCUGAAUCAGUUGCAGAAGGAAGCUCAACCUAAAGGCAGGACUGACACUAUCCCGAGAAAGAAGUUCACUUCAAGAUGGUCUGAAGAGAUAGAUUACCCUCCAGAAGAGAAAGAAGCAUAUUUUGAAGAGAGGGGAAUUGAGUAUUCUGCUGUAGACCUCUCCAGGGAGAAAGCUGAGUAUGAUGAUGAUACUAGAGAGGACUAUGCAGACCCUCUCUAUCAUUCAUUUUCUUCUUGAUAAGUGUGAGGAGUCAAGCUAGAGACUUUAAACAAGCUCACUUGGGAGGAAGUCCCAUGAUUAUCCUUGUAAAUAAUUUUUACUUUCUUGUUAUUUUUGAUAUGUUUUAGUUGUGUUUGUGGUUCUCAGGAAUAGAGGAAUAACGUGAAGCUAGAGUAAAAAAGCAAAACUUUUACUCUACAGAUGGCCUAGAGAUCGAGUACAUUCGUCGAGUAUGAGUGAUGUUUAAAACCUAAAAAAAUUUUAAAUCAUCAUUUAACUCGACCAACAAAAGCUACAUAGUCUUCCAGGGAGUUUAUCAAGUUUACAGAAGAUUGCGUGAUUUCCUGGAGUUUUUCUAGUGAACAAAGAAUGAAUACAGAGAAGAGACAAGAAGACAUUGUGGGACCCGUCGCUGAAGCCCAUGUCCUCCAUGCAACAGACCAAAGGACAAGAAAUCUCUCCUCAUCUCUUCUCCUCCACUCGACGUCAACCCCAUCACUCGACCCCCAUCCCUCUUCACUCGACCUCUUUCAAACCGCUUCACCAUCUCUCUCCUCUCAAGGUCACUCGAUCGCCAAGCACAACCAAGGAAUCACUCGACCGCGAGUUCACCAAACCAAAAAAAAAA